Molecule: ribosomal RNA, 476 nt
Filed under: Diacyclops konstantini
Lineage: Eukaryota; Metazoa; Arthropoda; Copepoda; Cyclopoida; Cyclopidae
Description: partial small subunit ribosomal RNA
Source: RNAcentral
UGUGCCAGCAGCUGCGGUUAUACUUUUAAGUAGAGCUUUAUAUUACAAAUUGUAAAAUAAAAUUUUAAUUUUCUGUUAUAAGAAUUAAUAAACAAAUUUUAUUAAACCUAAACAAAUGAAUAUAUUUAACAAAACUGGAUUAGUACCCAGGUAUGAAGUUAUUUUUAGGUAUUAUAAUUAAACCUAAACUGUCUGGCAGUUAUUUAUUCUUUUUAGAGAAUUUUGGUUUAUAAAUUGACACCCCACAAUUUUAUUUACUAAGCUGAAGCUUACGUGUGGUUGUUUAAAAAUAAAUUUUACAUUAAAUUUUUGUCCAAAUAACAUGUAGCCUGGCCUAGGAAUUACUGAAAUGCAAUAAAACUAAUUAACAAACUAACAGGAUUUAAUAGUAGGCGUAACACAUCGAACAAGUUAUAAAUAAGGGACAUAUUGUCCGUCACUCUCUCUAGAGAUAAAUCGUAGCAAAGGAGAAAAAA